This 253-nucleotide ribosomal RNA is filed under the name uncultured bacterium. RNAcentral describes it as "partial 16S ribosomal RNA". It matches the Rfam family "Bacterial small subunit ribosomal RNA", at positions 524 to 776 of the family's 1533-position model. The record is from RNAcentral.
UACAGAGGGGGCAAGCGUUGUUCGGAAUUACUGGGCGUAAAGGGCGCGUAGGCGGCCUUCUAAGUCAAACGUGAAAUCCCUCGGCUCAACCGGGGAACUGCGUCUGAUACUGGAAGGCUUGAAUCCGGGAGAGGAAUGCGGAAUUCCAGGUGUAGCGGUGAAAUGCGUAGAUAUUGGGAAGAACACCGGUGGCGAAGGCGGCAACCUGGUCCUUGACUGACGCUGAGGCGCGAAAGCGUGGGGAGCAAACAGG